Molecule: ribosomal RNA, 497 nt
Filed under: uncultured bacterium
Lineage: Bacteria
Description: partial 16S ribosomal RNA
Rfam family: Bacterial small subunit ribosomal RNA
Source: RNAcentral
GAUGAACGCUGGCGGCGUGCCUAAUACAUGCAAGUCGAGCGAACAGACGAGGAGCUUGCUCCUCUGACGUUAGCGGCGGACGGGUGAGUAACACGUGGAUAACCUACCUAUAAGACUGGGAUAACUUCGGGAAACCGGAGCUAAUACCGGAUAAUAUAUUGAACCGCAUGGUUCAAUAGUGAAAGACGGUUUUGCUGUCACUUAUAGAUGGAUCCGCGCCGCAUUAGCUAGUUGGUAAGGUAACGGCUUACCAAGGCGACGAUGCGUAGCCGACCUGAGAGGGUGAUCGGCCACACUGGAACUGAGACGCGGUCCAGACUCCUAAGGGAGGCAGCAGUAGGGAAUCUUCCGCAAUGGGCGAAAGCCUGACGGAGCAACGCCGCGUGAGUGAUGAAGGUCUUCGGAUCGUAAAACUCUGUUAUUAGGGAAGAACAAAUGUGUAAGUAACUAUGCACGUAUUGACGGUACCUAAUCAGAAAGCAACGGCUAACUACGUG